UACGUAGGGUGCGAGCGUUGUCCGGAAUUAUUGGUCGUAAAGAGCUCGUAGGCGGUCUGUCGCGUCUGCUGUGAAAACCCGAGGCUCAACCUCGGGCCUGCAGUGGGUACGGGCAGACUAGAGUGCGGUAGGGGAGACUGGAAUUCCUGGUGUAGCGGUGAAAUGCGCAGAUAUCAGGAGGAACACCGGUGGCGAAGGCGGGUCUCUGGGCAGUAACUGACGCUGAGGAGCGAAAGCGUGGGGAGCGAACAGG
Molecule: ribosomal RNA, 253 nt
Filed under: uncultured bacterium
Lineage: Bacteria
Description: partial 16S ribosomal RNA
Rfam family: Bacterial small subunit ribosomal RNA
Source: RNAcentral